This 556-nucleotide ribosomal RNA is filed under the name Naganishia sp. RNAcentral describes it as "partial large subunit ribosomal RNA". It matches the Rfam family "Eukaryotic large subunit ribosomal RNA", at positions 37 to 597 of the family's 3401-position model. Lineage: Eukaryota; Fungi; Basidiomycota; Tremellomycetes; Filobasidiales; Filobasidiaceae. The record is from RNAcentral.
UGCAUAUCAAAUAAGCGGAGGAAAAGUGACUAACAAGGAUUGCCCCUAGUAACGGCGAGUGAAGCGGGAAGAGCUCAAAUUUGAAAUCUGGUAGCCUUCGGUUGCCCGAGUUGUAAUCUAGAGAAGUGUUUUCCGUGCCGGCCCAUGUACAAGUCCCUUGGAACAGGGCGUCAUAGAGGGUGAGAAUCCCGUCCUUGACAUGGACCCCCGGUGCUUUGUGAUACACUUUCAACGAGUCGAGUUGUUUGGGAAUGCAGCUCAAAAUGGGUGGUGAAUUCCAUCUAAAGCUAAAUAUUGGCGAGAGACCGAUAGCGAACAAGUACCGUGAGGGAAAGAUGAAAAGCACUUUGGAAAGAGAGUUAAACAGUACGUGAAAUUGUUGAAAGGGAAACGAUUGAAGUCAGUCAUGCUCUUAGGAUUCAGCCGUUCUGCGGUGUAUUUCCUUUGAGUGGGGUCAACAUCAGUUUUGAUCGAUGGAUAAAGGCACGAGGAAGGUAGCACUCUCGGGUGAACUUAUAGCCUCGCGUCAUAUACAUUGAUUGGGACUGAGGAACGC